UGGGGAAUAUUGCACAAUGGGCGCAAGCCUGAUGCAGCCAUGCCGCGUGUGUGAAGAAGGCCUUCGGGUUGUAAAGCACUUUCAGCGGGGAGGAAGGCGUUAAGGUUAAUAACCUUGGCGAUUGACGUUACCCGCAGAAGAAGCACCGGCUAACUCCGUGCCAGCAGCCGCGGUAAUACGGAGGGUGCAAGCGUUAAUCGGAAUUACUGGGCGUAAAGCGCACGCAGGCGGUCUGUCAAGUCGGAUGUGAAAUCCCCGGGCUCAACCUGGGAACUGCAUUCGAAACUGGCAGGCUAGAGUCUUGUAGAGGGGGGCAGGAUUCCAGGUGUAGCGGUGAAAUGCGUAGAGAUCUGGAGGAAUACCGGUGGCGAAGGCGGCCCCCUGGACAAAGACUGACGCUCAGGUGCGAAAGCGUGGGGAGCAAACAGGAUUAGAUGCCCUGGUAGUCCACGCCGUAAACGAUGUCGAUUUGGAGGUUGUGCCCUUGAGGCGUGGCUUCCGGAGCUAACGCGUUAAAUCGACCGCCUGGGGAGUACGGCCGCAAGGUUA
This 549-nucleotide ribosomal RNA is filed under the name uncultured bacterium. RNAcentral describes it as "bacterial SSU rRNA". It matches the Rfam family "Bacterial small subunit ribosomal RNA", at positions 355 to 896 of the family's 1533-position model. The record is from RNAcentral.